This 420-nucleotide ribosomal RNA is filed under the name Fusobacteriota bacterium. RNAcentral describes it as "Fusobacteria bacterium partial 16S ribosomal RNA". It matches the Rfam family "Bacterial small subunit ribosomal RNA", at positions 355 to 776 of the family's 1533-position model. Lineage: Bacteria; Fusobacteriati; Fusobacteriota. The record is from RNAcentral.
UGGGGGAUAUUGCACAAUGGGCGAAAGCCUGAUGCAGCGACGUCGCGUGGGGGAUGAAGGCCUUCGGGUUGUAAACUUCUUUUGCUCUGAACAAGGCAUGCCUUUGGGGUGUGUUGAGUGUAGGGGUUGAUUAGCGCCGGCUAACUACGUGCCAGCAGCCGCGGUAAUACGUAGGGCGCGAGCGUUGUCCGGAAUUAUUGGGCGUAAAGGGCUUGUAGGUGGCUGGUUGCGUCUGUCGUGAAAGCUCAUGGCUUAACUGUGGGUUUGCGGUGGGUACGGGCUGGCUUGAGUGCAGUAGGGGAGGCUGGAAUUCCUGGUGUAGCGGUGGAAUGCGCAGAUAUCAGGAGGAAUACCGGUGGCGAAGGCGGGUCUCUGGGCUGUUACUGACGCUGAGGAGCGAAAGCGUGGGGAGCGAACAGG